GGAAUCUGGCCGACCUUUUCCUUCUUGGCUAUCAAGAAAAAAGCCUUCAAUACUCAGUAAUGCCAUAUGAUGGAACGAGAUGAGUGUAAUUCAUGAGAUUGACAGAGUAUUGGUCCAUAGCACUACUUCUCUUAUGAUACAUGAUGCUGAAGCUUUUUUUUUUCUCUUCGUGUACAACGGUGGCUUACAUCCGACAAAUGUGAAUACGGCCAACAAAAUCAGAAAACAAAGGCUAUAUAGAAGCUCCAGCGCAGACACGUGGUCCAUCCAGAUAAACCCUCCAGAGUGAUGAGCAAUAAAAGAGGCAAUCCAGUCAACAAUACAGUUUGCCUUAAUAAUGUAGCUUUUUCUUGGUACCAGAAUUGCACUACAGAGUAUUUUGGUUCAUUUAAUAUGAUAAAGUAUUUUGGUUCUCCAAGAGGACAUAAAACUAGUUUUUGGUGUGAGACAUGUGAGGUUGUGCAGUUAAUUUUGGAUCAAAUACCAACUUUGUUAUUCUAGGAACCUUUUGUGAUCUCAUUUUAGAAUGGGGUUAGAGUUUCUGUAAAGCCUUUUUCUAAUAAAAGCUGGAUGGCUUUGCCUCUCUUUUCAUUAAAAAAAAGAAAAUAUUUUUGAAUGGGGUUAGUAUUGAAUGAGAAGGGGUAGGAGUUGGGGGAAAGAGGGAUGGACUCCUAAUAAUCACUUGCAAGGCUUAAUUCAUUCUCUCUUUUUUAUUCUAUCUAAAAAUAGAUCGUUGUAAUGUAUUAUUCUCGAUGAAGAAAAG
RNAcentral lists this long non-coding RNA (763 nucleotides) under Phoenix dactylifera (date palm). RNAcentral describes it as "long non-coding RNA (PDAC_LNC002647)". The record is from RNAcentral. Lineage: Eukaryota; Viridiplantae; Streptophyta; Magnoliopsida; Arecales; Arecaceae.